CUCUGUUGGCUUUGACUACGCUUUUGGUCUCCUGGCCUGGUGUACCUGACCUGGCCUGUUAACUUCCCUGAGUGCUUAGUGUUCCAGUCUUCUGACUCAUCUGACUACCUAGCUAGUGCACUAGUCCCUGGCUUGUUUACGAACAUUACUCUUCUCCGUGCUCCUGACCCUUGCCUGUCCCGACUAUGCCUUGAUUUCAGUGUUCCUGUUACCUG
This is a non-coding RNA of Pelobates cultripes (western spadefoot toad), 215 nucleotides long. NCBI's taxonomy places the organism in Eukaryota, Metazoa, Chordata, Amphibia, Anura, Pelobatidae. The record is from the annotation of a GenBank genome assembly.